Molecule: transfer RNA, 68 nt
Filed under: Aphanostichopathes dissimilis
Lineage: Eukaryota; Metazoa; Cnidaria; Anthozoa; Antipatharia; Aphanipathidae
Description: partial tRNA-Trp
Source: RNAcentral
CCCCUCCUGGCGAUAGGGUAGUUCAUAGCCUUGGGGGACUUAAAGUUCUCUUAGGCUCAUGUGUUUUC